RNAcentral lists this ribosomal RNA (295 nucleotides) under uncultured bacterium. RNAcentral describes it as "partial 16S ribosomal RNA". It matches the Rfam family "Bacterial small subunit ribosomal RNA", at positions 336 to 628 of the family's 1533-position model. The record is from RNAcentral.
UUCCUACGGGGCGCAGCAGUGAGGAAUAUUGGUCAAUGGACGCAAGUCUGAACCAGCCAUGCCGCGUGCAGGAUGACGGCUCUAUGAGUUGUAAACUGCUUUUGUACGAGGGUAAACGCAGAUACGUGUAUCUGUCUGAAAGUAUCGUACGAAUAAGGAUCGGCUAACUCCGUGCCAGCAGCCGCGGUAAUACGGAGGAUUCAAGCGUUAUCCGGAUUUAUUGGGUUUAAAGGGCGCGUAGGCGGUCGGUUAAAUUAGCGGUGAAAUCUCGAGGCUCAACCUCGGAAUUGCCUCU